CGAAACUGCGAAUGGCUCAUUAUAUAAGUUAUCGUUUAUUUGAUAGCACCUUGCUACUUGGAUAACCGUGGUAAUUCUAGAGCUAAUACAUGCUGAAAAUCCCGACUUCGGAAGGGAUGUAUUUAUUAGAUUAAAAACCAAUGCCCCGCAAGGGGCUCUCUGGUGAAUCAUGAUAACUGCUCGAAUCGCAUGGCCUUGUGCCGGCGAUGGCUCAUUCAAAUUUCUUCCCUAUCAACUUUCGAUGUUUGGGUAGUGGCCAAACAUGGUGGCAACGGGUAACGGAGGGUUAGGGCUCGGCCCCGGAGAAGGAGCCUGAGAAACGGCUACUACAUCCAAGGAAGGCAGCAGGCGCGCAAAUUACCCAAUCCCGACACGGGGAGGUAGUGACAAUAAAUACUGAUACAGGGCUCUUUUGGGUCUUGUAAUUGGAAUGAGUACAAUUUAAAUCCCUUAACGAGGAACAAUUGGAGGGCAAGUCUGGUGCCAGCAGCCGCGGUAAUUCCAGCUCCAAUAGCGUAUAUUAAAGUUGUUGUGGUUAAAAAGCUCGUAGUUGAACCUUGGGCCUGGCUGGCCGGUCCGCCUCACCGCGUGCACUGGUCCGGCCGGGCCUUUCCCUCCGUGGAACCCCAUGCCCUUCACUGGGUGUGGCGGGGAAACGGGACUUUUACUUUGAAAAAAUUAGAGUGCUCCAGGCAGGCCUAUGCUCGAAUACAUUAGCAUGGAAUAAUGAAAUAGGACGUGCGGUUCUAUUUUGUUGGUUUCUAGGACCGCCGUAAUGAUUAAUAGGGACAGUCGGGGGCAUCAGUAUUCAAUUGUCAGAGGUGAAAUUCUUGGAUUUAUUGAAGACUAACUACUGCGAAAGCAUUUGCCAAGGAUGUUUUCAUUAAUCAGGAACGAAAGUUAGGGGAUCGAAGACGAUCAGAUACCGUCGUAGUCUUAACCAUAAACUAUGCCGACUAGGGAUCGGACGGUGUUACUUUUGACCCGUUCGGCACCUUACGAGAAAUC
RNAcentral lists this ribosomal RNA (1008 nucleotides) under Purpureocillium sp. TW-2022a. RNAcentral's name for it is "SSU rRNA". It matches the Rfam family "Eukaryotic small subunit ribosomal RNA", at positions 82 to 1099 of the family's 1831-position model. Lineage: Eukaryota; Fungi; Ascomycota; Sordariomycetes; Hypocreales; Ophiocordycipitaceae. The record is from RNAcentral.